ACCUGGGACCCAAAAUAUUCCAUAACAGAGAAAUUCGGUCCCACACAGUGUGUGAGCACAUGAGAGAGCAUCCAUGCACAAUCCCAGUGUGCACAUGGAGGUCAAAGGACAAUCUCGGGUGUCACUCCUCACCUACCUUGUCUGAGACAGGGUCUUUCUCUGUAUCCCUGGCAGUCCUGGAAAUUGCUGUGUCGACCAGGCUAUGAAGAAUGGUGACUGUCACUAGCAGACCAAGAGAAUCUGAUAAACAAGCACACCCAAGUCAUCUUCAGAGUCACUGCACUAUUAUGGACGGAUGUCUAAGGAACCAGCUGCCCUGUCACAUGUGAGGUGAGUAGCUGUGCUCCUCAUUUCUCUCCUGCCUGCCUGGUGACGGCUGCAGUGACUCACAUGCCAAUUACCCUGAGGUAGCUCCUGUCUUACAGUCUCACAGAGCUGCAGGCAGCCUGGCCUGGUGAUGAUAAAUGCCUUAAAUUCCAGCACUCGGGAGG
This 491-nucleotide long non-coding RNA is filed under the name Cricetulus griseus (Chinese hamster). Its description in RNAcentral is "lncRNA (ENSCGRG00000026106.1)". The record is from RNAcentral. Lineage: Eukaryota; Metazoa; Chordata; Mammalia; Rodentia; Cricetidae.